RNAcentral lists this ribosomal RNA (648 nucleotides) under Triticum aestivum (bread wheat). RNAcentral's name for it is "partial small subunit ribosomal RNA". Lineage: Eukaryota; Viridiplantae; Streptophyta; Magnoliopsida; Poales; Poaceae. The record is from RNAcentral.
AUGGCCGUGGAUUGCUUCCACCGCGCGUAUGCGCUGGCCAUCGUCAACGCCGUCUGCAUCGGCGGCACGGCCAUGAUCCUCUACGCGCUCGUCAACCUGGCGCGGAAGCCCGACCACAGCAGGGGCUCCAUCAUCGUGCUCACGGUCUUCCUCCUCUUCUGGGUCGGCGUCGGCGCCAGCGUGUACACGGCCUUCUGCGGGGUCCUCUUCCCGUGGUCGGCGCUGCGCCGGUGCCUGGCCUCCACCAGCGGAGCGCUGAUGUACUACUUCCGCCGCACGGGCUGGCUUCACUGCCUGCCGGGCCGGUCCAGGCUACGGCGCCGAAGCGGCAGCAGCGCUCUGCCCCAGUUUCUGGACCAAAUACAGCAGAGUCACAUGCCCGCGCUGGCCAGGGAGCCGCCGGCGCAUGGCGGCGCGAGGGUGGCGACGGCGUAUGACGUCCUGGCGUACGAGCAACCGGAGGGGGGCGGCGCGUCGGAGUGUGCGGUCUGCCUCGGGGAGGUGGAGAAGGGGGACACGAUGAAGCGGCUGCCGGCGUGCCUGCACAUGUUCCACCAGCAGUGCAUCGACCCGUGGCUGCACGAGCACUCCACCUGCCCGGUCUGCCGGUGCAUCGUCUUCGCGCCGUUGCCGGCCCAAAUGGUAUGA